Molecule: ribosomal RNA, 298 nt
Filed under: uncultured bacterium
Lineage: Bacteria
Description: partial 16S ribosomal RNA
Rfam family: Bacterial small subunit ribosomal RNA
Source: RNAcentral
CUAUGCGCCUUGCCAGCCCGCUCAGGUGUGCCAGCCGCCGCGGUAAUACGGAGGAUGCGAGCGUUAUCCGGAUUUAUUGGGUUUAAAGGGUGCGCAGGCGGAAGAUCAAAGUCAGCGGUAAAAUUGAGAGGCUCAACCUCUUCGAGCCGUUGAAACUGGUUUCUUGAGUGAGCGAGGAGUAUGCGGAAUGCGUGGUGUAGCGGUGAAAUGCAUAGAUAUCACGCAGAACUCCGAUUGCGAAGGCAGCAUACCGGCGCUCAACUGACGCUCAUGCACGAAAGUGUGGGUAUCGAACAGG